This 333-nucleotide unclassified non-coding RNA is filed under the name Hevea brasiliensis (rubber tree). Lineage: Eukaryota; Viridiplantae; Streptophyta; Magnoliopsida; Malpighiales; Euphorbiaceae. The record is from RNAcentral.
AAUUCUCUUGGUGUGGCGCAUACUAAACCUAUGAAUUUGUAUUGUGAUAAUCAGGCAGCUCUGCAUAUAGCUGCUAAUCCUGUCUAUCAUGAACGUACCAAGCAUAUUGAAGUGAACUGUCAUUUUAUCCGUGAUGAGAUAUUGAAUGGUAACAUUCGAACAGAUUAUGUACGUAGUUCAAUGCAACCUGCGGAUAUCUUCACAAAGGCGUUGGGAAAGGAUUAGUUUGACUUUCUUCUUCGCAAGUUGGGCAUUCAAGAUCUCCAUGCUCCAACUUGAGGGGGGGUAUUAGAAAGGCAGCUGUUAGCCGUCACUUAUUUUUCAUUUAUUUAG